AAAACAUCGCCUCUUGCAAAAUUAAUAAAUAAGAGGUCCCGCCUGCCCUGUGACUAUAUGUUUAACGGCCGCGGUAUUUUGACCGUGCGAAGGUAGCGCAAUCACUUGUCUUUUAAAUGAAGACCUGUAUGAAUGGCAUAACGAGGGCUUAACUGUCUCUUCUUUCAAGUCAAUGAAAUUGAUCUCCCCGUGCAGAAGCGGGGAUGCACCCAUAAGACGAGAAGACCCUGUGGAGCUUUAGACACCAAGACAGACUACUGUCAGACACCCCAAACCAAUGGGUUGAACCAAUUAGACCCUGUCCUAAUGUCUUCGGUUGGGGCGACCGCGGGGAAAUGAAUAACCCCCAUGUGGAAUGGGAACACCUCCUCCUACAACCAAGAGCCCCCGCUCUAACAAACAGAACUUCUGACCUACAAGAUCCGGCAACGCCGAUUAACGGACCAAGUUACCCCAGGGAUAACAGCGCAAUCCCCUUUUAGAGCCCAUAUCGACAAGGGGGUUUACGACCUCGAUGUUGGAUCAGGACAUCCUAAUGGUGCAGCCGCUAUUAAGGGUUCGUUUGUUCAACGAUUAAAGUCCUACGUGAUCUGAG
This 595-nucleotide ribosomal RNA is filed under the name Pomacanthus sexstriatus (sixbar angelfish). RNAcentral's name for it is "partial 16S ribosomal RNA". It matches the Rfam family "Bacterial large subunit ribosomal RNA", at positions 1810 to 2609 of the family's 2925-position model. The record is from RNAcentral. Lineage: Eukaryota; Metazoa; Chordata; Actinopteri; Pomacanthidae.